RNAcentral lists this ribosomal RNA (252 nucleotides) under uncultured bacterium. RNAcentral describes it as "partial 16S ribosomal RNA". It matches the Rfam family "Bacterial small subunit ribosomal RNA", at positions 524 to 776 of the family's 1533-position model. The record is from RNAcentral.
UACGUAGGGUGCGAGCGUUAAUCGGAAUUACUGGGCGUAAAGCGUGCGCAGGCGGUUUUGUAAGCCAGAUGUGAAAUCCCCGGGCUUAACCUGGGAAUGGCAUUUGGGACUGCAAGGCUCGAGUGCGGCAGAGGAGACUGGAAUUCCUGGUGUAGCAGUGAAAUGCGUAGAUAUCAGGAGGAACACCGAUGGCGAAGGCAGGUCUCUGGGCUGACACUGACGCUGAGGAGCGAAAGCGUGGGAGCGAACAGG